RNAcentral lists this ribosomal RNA (252 nucleotides) under uncultured bacterium. Its description in RNAcentral is "partial 16S ribosomal RNA". It matches the Rfam family "Bacterial small subunit ribosomal RNA", at positions 524 to 775 of the family's 1533-position model. The record is from RNAcentral.
UACGGAGGGUGCGAGCGUUGUCCGGAAUAACUGGGCGUAAAGGGCGCGUAGGUGGCGCGGGCAGUCAACGGUGAAAGUUCGGGGCUCAACCCUGAAUCGGCCGUCGAUACUCCCGUGCUUGAGCACUGUAGAGGCAGAUGGAAUUCCGGGUGUAGCGGUGGAAUGCGUAGAGAUCCGGAAGAACACCGGUGGCGAAGGCGGUCUGCUGGGCAGUAGCUGACACUGAGGCGCGACAGCGUGGGGAGCAAACAG